This 1725-nucleotide ribosomal RNA is filed under the name Salmonella enterica. RNAcentral describes it as "partial 23S ribosomal RNA". The record is from RNAcentral. Lineage: Bacteria; Pseudomonadati; Pseudomonadota; Gammaproteobacteria; Enterobacterales; Enterobacteriaceae.
GUUGGGUAGGGGAGCGUUCUGUAAGCCUGUGAAGGUGGCCUGUGAGGGUUGCUGGAGGUAUCAGAAGUGCGAAUGCUGACAUAAGUAACGAUAAAGCGGGUGAAAAGCCCGCUCGCCGGAAGACCAAGGGUUCCUGUCCAACGUUAAUCGGGGCAGGGUGAGUCGACCCCUAAGGCGAGGCCGAAAGGCGUAGUCGAUGGGAAACGGGUUAAUAUUCCCGUACUUGGUGUUACUGCGAAGGGGGGACGGAGAAGGCUAUGUUGGCCGGGCGACGGUUGUCCCGGUUUAAGCGUGUAGGUGUGUGUUCCAGGUAAAUCCGGUUCACUUUAACACUGAGGCGUGAYGACGAGGCACUACGGUGCUGAAGCAACAAAUGCCCUGCUUCCAGGAAAAGCCUCUAAGCAUCAGGUAACAUCAAAUCGUACCCCAAACCGACACAGGUGGUCAGGUAGAGAAUACCAAGGCGCUUGAGAGAACUCGGGUGAAGGAACUAGGCAAAAUGGUGCCGUAACUUCGGGAGAAGGCACGCUGACACGUAGGUGAAGUGAUUUACUCACGGAGCUGAAGUCAGUCGAAGAUACCAGCUGGCUGCAACUGUUUAUUAAAAACACAGCACUGUGCAAACACGAAAGUGGACGUAUACGGUGUGACGCCUGCCCGGUGCCGGAAGGUUAAUUGAUGGGGUCAGCGCAAGCGAAGCUCCUGAUCGAAGCCCCGGUAAACGGCGGCCGUAACUAUAACGGUCCUAAGGUAGCGAAAUUCCUUGUCGGGUAAGUUCCGACCUGCACGAAUGGCGUAAUGAUGGCCAGGCUGUCUCCACCCGAGACUCAGUGAAAUUGAACUCGCUGUGAAGAUGCAGUGUACCCGCGGCAAGACGGAAAGACCCCGUGAACCUUUACUAUAGCUUGACACUGAACAUUGAGCCUUGAUGUGUAGGAUAGGUGGGAGGCUUUGAAGYGUGGACGCCAGUCUGCRUGGAGCCGACCUUGAAAUACCACCCUUUAAUGUUUGAUGUUCUAACGUGGACCCGUWAYCCGGGUUGCGGACAGUGUCUGGUGGGUAGUUUGACUGGGGCGGUCUCCUCCUAAAGAGUAACGGAGGAGCACGAAGGUUGGCUAAUCCUGGUCGGACAUCAGGAGGUUAGUGCAAUGGCAUAAGCCAGCUUGACUGCGAGCGUGACGGCGCGAGCAGGUGCGAAAGCAGGUCAUAGUGAUCCGGUGGUUCUGAAUGGAAGGGCCAUCGCUCAACGGAUAAAAGGUACUCCGGGGAUAACAGGCUGAUACCGCCCAAGAGUUCAUAUCGACGGCGGUGUUUGGCACCUCGAUGUCGGCUCAUCACAUCCUGGGGCUGAAGUAGGUCCCAAGGGUAUGGCUGUUCGCCAUUUAAAGUGGUACGCGAGCUGGGUUUAGAACGUCGUGAGACAGUUCGGUCCCUAUCUGCCGUGGGCGCUGGAGAACUGAGGGGGGCUGCUCCUAGUACGAGAGGACCGGAGUGGACGCAUCACUGGUGUUCGGGUUGUCAUGCCAAUGGCACUGCCCGGUAGCUAAAUGCGGAAGAGAUAAGUGCUGAAAGCAUCUAAGCACGAAACUUGCCCCGAGAUGAGUUCUCCCUGAGACUUAGAGUCUCCUGAAGGAACGUUGAAGACGACGACGUUGAUAGGCCGGGUGUGUAAGCGCAGCGAUGCGUUGAGCUAACCGGUACUAAUGAACCGUGAGGCUUAACCUU